Canis lupus familiaris (dog) is the source of this 1741-nucleotide long non-coding RNA. RefSeq lists it as uncharacterized. Lineage: Eukaryota; Metazoa; Chordata; Mammalia; Carnivora; Canidae. The transcript is spliced from 2 exons. The record is from RefSeq and is a predicted model, not a curated record.
AAUUGGCUCUUUUUAAACCAGACAGAUGAGGGGCCCCUGGGGGGCUCAACGGUGGAGCAUCUGCCUUUGGCUCAGGCCAUGACCCCGGGGUCCUGGGAUCGAGUCCCUCAUCGGGCUCCCUGCACCGAGCCUGCUUCUCCCUCUGCCUGGGUCUCUGCCUCUCUCUGUGUCUCUCAUGAAUAAACAAAUAAAAUCUUAAAAAAAGAAAUAAACUGGACAGAUGAGAAGAACAUGGGCUCUGAAACAAAGCAGCCGUGGCUUACAGAUUCUGGCUCCCGUACAUAUCAGUUGGAUGAACUCGGGCAAACAUUAGGAGCCUCAGGCUCCUAAUCUGUAACAUGGGAAUGUUAAAAAUCACCUUGCGGUGCGGUGCUAAGGAUUCAAUCAGGAGGAGUGCUGCUGUGGAGUAAGCACUAGUAGGAACUAUGUUGUAGCAUCUGUCGGAAUAAAGUCACCGAGGACGAGAGGCAUCCUUGUGGCCUAAACACUCACCAUGCUGACAGGCAUGGGCCACGUACCUGAGGCCAAGUUCUAGAAUAGGUGUGCCGCGCCCAGAGGAUGAGGCAAGAACCGCUGUGUGUCUCCUUCAGCCAGUGGCACUCCCGCUAAGGACAUCCAGUCCCACCAGCUAUUUGAUAAAAGCCUCACUAUCCCUACCCAGUCAGGAUAUGGCUGGUAUCUUUCCAAACAUCUUUAUUAGGAAGCGAAGCAGGAAGUGGUGGGUGGGGAGCCCAACUUCUUUUUCAAAAGAAGAUCAGUGUGUUAUUUUACGCUAAGACUGGCCACAAAAUGGUAAGAAGGCGUCGGUUAACCACUCCCUGUGUCCGCUGGAAAGUAUUUGAGGAGGAAGAGGGGGACAUGGAAUCCCACCUUCCUAUUCAAGACCUUGGAGACUUGGAGGCCUCAGCCUCGGGGUAAAGGAAAAGGAGACAAGUAUAGUUUGGAAGGCGCAAAUUUCUCCACAGUCCCUCAAAAGCUGAAGGCUUAAGCAGUCGUGGGAAAAGUGGCAAACCCCAGAACGCCCCAGACGCUCGGGCCCUGGCAGCUGGGAUACCUCCGGAUGAGGACGAGCGAGGGCUGAAAACAGAAGCACCUGCCGCCAGCCAGGGGCCCUUCCCGGGCCACCGAUACGCAAGUCGGGCAUCUGUCCUCUGGAGACAGGAAAACAGAGUCUCGGGACUGGGGACGCUAGAAACGGUAAAGGACGUCCCGGGAAACCAAGUCAGAGGUCAGAUGUACAGAGCUUUGCCACAAAGAUUCAAAACUCCAGCCGAAACAAAAUAAGCACUGGAUUUCUAGCCGAAUCCUAGAAGCUAAAGGCCAGGGAGGAAUGUCUUCAAUAUCUGGAGGGAAAAAAUGAUUUCUAACCUAAGAUUCCAUAGCAAUUAAAAUCCCCAUGGAAAGGCCAACAAAGCCACGUUUAGCCACAUGGGCUUUUAAGGAUCCAUCCCCGCCGUACACUUCUUCAGAGAACUACUGGAAGACGGGCUCCCUAGAGUGUGAGACCCAACAGAAAAGGACUAUGACUUGGGAUCCAGAAAACAAGGAAUCUAAAACAAGAGAGAGGCAAGAGGAAACCCCAGAAUGGUAGCAAUGGGAUAGUUCGUGAUGGCAAGGGCUUCAGCCAGCCUGGACUGGAGUGGGUCUAGAAUGUUCUGAGACAUAUUUCUUAAAAAAAAAAAAAUCAAUAGAAUGCCCCAAACAUUUGAAUUUAUAAAGAGAACACCAGAGUGAGUGUAGA